UGUUUGAUGUUCUAACGUUGACCCGUGAUCCGGGUUGCGGACAGUGUCUGGUGGGUAGUUUGACUGGGGCGGUCUCCUCCUAAAGAGUAACGGAGGAGCACGAAGGUUGGCUAAUCCUGGUCGGACAUCAGGAGGUUAGUGCAAUGGCAUAAGCCAGCUUGACUGCGAGCGUGACGGCGCGAGCAGGUGCGAAAGCAGGUCAUAGUGAUCCGGUGGUUCUGAAUGGAAGGGCCAUCGCUCAACGGAUAAAAGGUACUCCGGGGAUAACAGGCUGAUACCGCCCAAGAGUUCAUAUCGACGGCGGUGUUUGGCACCUCGAUGUCGGCUCAUCACAUCCUGGGGCUGAAGUAGGUCCCAAGGGUAUGGCUGUUCGCCAUUUAAAGUGGUACGCGAGCUGGGUUUAGAACGUCGUGAGACAGUUCGGUCCCUA
Molecule: ribosomal RNA, 430 nt
Filed under: Escherichia coli
Lineage: Bacteria; Pseudomonadati; Pseudomonadota; Gammaproteobacteria; Enterobacterales; Enterobacteriaceae
Description: partial 23S ribosomal RNA
Rfam family: Bacterial large subunit ribosomal RNA
Source: RNAcentral